RNAcentral lists this small nuclear RNA (107 nucleotides) under Microtus ochrogaster (prairie vole). Lineage: Eukaryota; Metazoa; Chordata; Mammalia; Rodentia; Cricetidae. The record is from RNAcentral.
GUGCUUGCUUCGGCAGCACGUAUACUAAAAUUGGAACGAUACAGAGACGAUUAGCAUGGCCCCUGCGCAAGGAUGACACGCAAAUUCGUGAAGUGGAAAAAAAAAUA